Long non-coding RNA from Vicia villosa (hairy vetch), 4229 nucleotides. RefSeq lists it as uncharacterized. The transcript has 2 exons. Lineage: Eukaryota; Viridiplantae; Streptophyta; Magnoliopsida; Fabales; Fabaceae. The record is from RefSeq and is a predicted model, not a curated record.
AAAGAAAUAAGAAGGGAGUUAGGGUUUGUAUGUCGUGACAAAUGAGAUUGAACUCAUCUCCUUCCCUCUUUUGGCUCGAAGCGGCCGCAAACCUCCGAUCAAGUUUUUCUGUCGCGACUUCCGGCGCGGUUUGGCUCCGAUUCUCUUCUUCUCUCUGGCCUCAUCUCCGUCUCUGAACACGGCGGCUUCUCCUCUGUUUCCCUUGGUGUUGACGCGGUUUUGGAAAAUGAUGUGAGAUCGAGUUGAUGUUGUAUCUCAGCUGAAUUGAAAAAGGAACCCAGGAACAUAUUCGAAAGGGUGGUCGAGACGGCGGCUAGGGCAUCAGAAGAUAUCCCUCUCCAAAGAAAAAUCUCCAAAUCAACGAAGGAUCACUGAUAAUGGGAAGAGUAGUUACUAGGAGCCAGAGACUUAAAUCAUUAAACAGUUGCAAUGACGAUUCAAACUCCAAGAGAUGUAUAGUGAUUUCAAAGGUGCCGCUUCCUCAAGACUUGCUGCUUCAUAUUCUUACUUUGCUUCCUCUCAAAUCUCUUGUUAACUCUGCAAGGUAUGUUUGCAAAUCUUGGGCCACUACUAUUCGAACCUCCCAAUUUGCGCUAGCAUGCCUAACACAUUCUAAACCCGGUCUUUUCGUUCAAAAUCAUCAACAUCGUACUGCUUAUUUCUUGGAUAUUAAAGACUGUGUGCAAGGUAGUCAAGAUCGAGAUCAGGGUCGUAGGAUCUUAAGAUCUUACGAUCUUUUAUUGCCUUUUAGUGCUAAGAUCUUGCAGAAAUCUUUUUCAUGUGCUUUUGUAGUCAAGAUCGAGAUCUUUUAAGUAAGAUCGUAAACACCAUAGUGCUGGACCUGUUUUUGUUAGGCUUUCUAACCGGGUCAGAUUUUUUAAGUGAACCCGAUUUUUUUGUCUUACUUAAGUUCUGUCUUUCCUAACCCUAAAAUUAAAAACGCAAAACGGCUGCAGCAUCUUCCUCAUACGAUACUUUCCUACUUCCACGAAAAACAGAAACUUUUCACCAUCAUCUUCGCCAUUCUUCUCCCCCUGCUAUCAUCUUUGUUCUUCUCCCUCUGUUAUCAUCCUCAUUUCGUGUUCAUCUUAUUAAAUUAGGGAUUGAUGGUUAUGAAUUAUUAAUUAAAUUAGUUGAAUGUUGUGAUUUAUAGGUUAUCUUGUUCAUGUAUUAUAAUUUGCAUGUUUUUGUCAAUGUGAAUUUACCAUUUUGCCCUUUGGUAAGAUCUUAAGUGUCGUGCUACGAUCCUACUUUUACGGUCUUUCACAGGCCGUCCGAUCUUACUUAAGAUCCCGUGCUUGACUACCUUGACUGUGUGAAUGGUCAGUUUGAAUUUGAAAGGACUGAUAUGGGAACAACUUUGGGAAAAGUUAUCAUUUACGAUACUUGUAAUGGCAUAUUGUUGCUUCUAUUGCCGAACAAGCGUCUUAAGCAAAUACAACCUUGUCUCGUCAACCCCAUCACCAAGUCUUGCUUUAGAGCUCCUCCUUUACUCAGGUCACAAAGACCUUUUGGGCUUUUUUUUGGACCGACUUUAGUGUGUGUCCCCCAUAUUGCCAAAUUCAAGCUCUUCUUCCUAGACAUCCAAGAUGUUUCAGGUGUUGAUUAUUAUGUUUUCUAUGUCCUAACAAUUGGAAUAGGUAACUCAUGGAGAGAAAUAGAUAGAAAAAAAGUUCCUUACGGGGGUAGUUAUUGGCCACCACCUUAUGGAGGAGGCAAUUAUCUUUACUGGAAGACUGGUGGAGACCAUGGAGUAACUGUGGUGGAUGUUGACAAGGAAAUUACCGCUGGAAAAUUUUCACUUCCCCCUGUGCCCAUGUAUUGUGCUGUUGAGGAUGUUGAGACAUUCUUCACGAACAUGAAUACAAAGUUCUUAUGGAUGGGAAAUCAGCUUUCUUGCAUUGUGAUUAAAGAUUCGAAAACAUUUAAAAUCUACCUUUUGGAUUUUGAGUCUGGAAAAUGGUCUCUUUAUCAUGAUAUGGGACAUUUUGAUUGAGUGGCUGCUUCUGGUAAUGAGUUUAUUAUUUAUGAUAUUUGUUGCUGGAUCCACGAUCAAAUCAUCUUUAGUCUCUUCUCUAAAGAAAGAAAGAGGCAUCUAGACAGGAUAAUAAACAACUUGCAUUUUAGUUACAGUGUCAAGACUAGAAAACUAACAAAGAUUGAGGGCAUUUCCAUGGGUGAUCAAGUAAGGCUUCACACCAACAGUCUAAUUUCAUUGCCAAGUACUCCAACAUAGUUAGGUUUCUUGGUACAAUAUAUUCAUUGGUAAUCUUAAUAUUUAUCUUUGUUGGGUACAAUAAGUAUUUAUGUUUCUAUUUAUCCAUGAAGCCACUAUUUGAUAACACUGCUUUUAGUUCAGAAAGUUCAGAACAGUGUUACCUCUUUCUUUUAUAUGGGAAGGAUGGAUUAAGUAUGUCUCUGCAUUUAUGCAUCUGGUUCACUUAGUUAGAUGUCACUAUCGGCUAUUAUAUGAGAUCAUAUUUCAAAUUGUAGUAGCCAUUUAGUGAUUCGUAUUUUUUUUACUUCUUGAAGUAGAUGGAUCUGAGAUAUUCGACGACCUCUUGAGUUUAUGUAAAGAGCCAUCCAAACAAAGAAUUGUAGAUGGAGUGAAGUUGACAUUGUAUCUAAUUUUCUCAGGGUAAGUUGGUAUGAACAUCAUAUCAACCUUCAUUGAAUUAUAGUUGGUAUGAACAUUAAUUUUUUGUAUUUUUUUUUAGAUUUCGUACGGGCAUCCAAUGCUUAUAGGCUGGUCGACAAAAAAAAAGGCAACCUAAGAGAAAAACUAAAAGUUUGAAGAUCCUUGCGAAUUGCUAAAAUAAUUUGAGAAAUUCACGUUAAUUUGUAAAAACAUCGAACGAUUUUCUGCAUUUCAAAUUGAUUCUUUUAGAAAGCCUAAAAAAAUGAUAUUUGGUAGGAGAAGAAAUGAUACCGAAGAUGUUAUUAUGGGUAAUGUCUUCGGUAUCAAUAUAAGGUUAUCAAGUAUCAUUUUCUUAGGCUUCCCAAAAAAAUCAAUUUGAGAUUCAGAAAAUUGUUCGAUGUUUCUAAGACUUAGCAAUUUGCAAGGAUCUUUGAAUUUUUAAUUUUUCUCAUACUUUUUUGUUGAUCAGCUUAUAACUAUGUUUUUUUGUCGACCAGGUUAUAACCAUUGGAUGCCCGUACAAAAUUUGCAAAAAAAAUACAAACAAAAAAAUUAUCUUAAAAAAUAUUACGUUCACACCAACUAUAAUUCAAUGAAUGUUAUAAUUCAAUGAAUGGUGAUAUCAUGUUCAUACCAACUUGCCUCGAGAAAACUAGAUUAGUGCCAACUUCACUCCAUCUACAAUUCUUAAGAAGUCGUCGAAUAUCUCAAGAUUUAUUAGCCACCUCUUUCAAGAAGUAAAAAAAAAUGAAUCACAAAAUGUCUACUACAAUUUGGAAUAUGAUUCGUGACAAACAAUCAUUACUGGAGAAUGUCGUUUCAAAUUUGGAACAAGGUGCCGUUGAACAAACCGAAGAGGUUGAACAAGCUGCCGUUGAACAAACCUAAGAAGUUGAACAAACAAAAGUGAAAAUCGAAACUGUCGGCAGACCUAAGAAAAGGAGAUCUAAUAGAAUGACAAAACCUACCCCUCUUUUUGUCGAAUUAGAUGCAAAUAUGUUCAACAAAAUCGGAAUGUUGAACAUGCUACAAAUGUGGGACUAACUUUGAAUGUUGAACAUACCUUCAAUUUGGAGUACGAUGACAACGAAAUCAGCAACUCGGGGCUAGCUGUAAAUGUUGACCAUGCCUCCAAUUUUGAGGAUGAUGAGAUUGUUGAUCUUGCUUCCAAUAUGAAGGCUGCGAUUGUUGAUCAUGCUUCCAAUUUGGUAUCCGUGACACCGGCUGUCCUUUGGGAACCAUCUUUGAAAGCUAUAAUCUGGAGGCAGCUGAUAAUCUGGAACCAAUAAUGAGAAAUCCAUCUUUGAAACUUGCUUCUGUUGGUACCGACAGUGUGGAACAAACUAUAAAUUGUACUGACAGUGUGGAACAAAUUGUACUGACAGUGGGGAACAAACUUGUUGGCAGUGCCAAUGUGCAGCAAUUUGCAAAUGUUGAGAGAGCCCCAAAAACCCUUCACAAUAUCCAAACCAACUAGAAGUAAACUAUUCGAAAUUUUUAUGUUUUUGUAUCUUUAUUUAACACCUACUUUGAUAUAAUAGCUACAUAGCCUUCCAAGACAAGGAUUCUUAAUGAAACUUAUAAUUUUCUA